Molecule: ribosomal RNA, 197 nt
Filed under: uncultured bacterium
Lineage: Bacteria
Description: partial 16S ribosomal RNA
Rfam family: Bacterial small subunit ribosomal RNA
Source: RNAcentral
UACUCCUACGGGAGGCAGCAGUGGGGAAUUUUGCACAAUGGGCGAAAGCCUGAUGCAGCAACGCCGCGUGUGUGAUGAAGGUCUUCGGAUCGUAAAGCACUUUCGACCGGGAUGAAAACCCGUUGGCUAACAUCCAACGGUUUGACCGUACCGGGAGAAGAAGCACCGGCUAACUCUGUGCCAGCAGCCGCGGUAAU